GCGACAACUUAACAGAUUUUUUAUUAAUAUUCUGACAAUUCUUGUUGUGCGUUUUUGUAAUAAAAGGCAUUUUGUGUCUAUUUAGCACUGAGUGUAGGAGAUUUUAAAGACAUGAAAAAGGUGUUUUGUUUUUGCAACAUACCUUCUAAUUUUAAUGAAUAAAAAACAUUUGGUAAAAAAAAAAUUGGACUGUUUGGCAGUAUUUCUUUUAAAACGGACAGAAAUUAAUGAAACGUCAGACUUAAGCAGCUUCGAUAACUCUUGUUAUAAUUAAUAAUCAAACGAACUUACCUGUGAAGUUUGAUUACAAUUAUGCGAGUAUCCAAAUCCAAGACAACAAAUAUAAUUUACUAGCAGCAGUACACGUUAUCGUGCAGUCCAAUUCACACAUUUUAGAGAUUAUAGUAUUUAAAAAAACAAGUUCGCGCUGUCCCUCUCACUCGCUACGCUGCGUUCCUGCUUCGACAUCGCUCCUCCAGUACUCAUUAUUUCAGAGUUAUUUUUGUGUUAUUAACAGAGACUAUUUUAUUUUCAUUUUUGGGGAUGGGGGGCGGGUCUUUGUUGUCUUGGAUUUGGAUACUCGCAUAAUUGUAAUCAAACUUCACAGGUAAGUUCGUUUGAUUAUUAAUUAUACUUCGUAUCCAAAUCCAAGACAACAAAUAUAAUUUACUAGCAGAUGUUCAGAGCUUUGUAUUUAAAUUCAAAUCCUGAAUGCGAAAAUAAAAUAAAAUAUCGAUAUCAAAUCAGUAUGUUACGAACAUACUGAUAUUAUUGAUUUUGACUAAAGAGAACAACGUACCACCUAGAAGUUAUUAAUUUAUAUCCAAUUUAAAUAAUUAUUUAUGUAUCCACAUAGUAUAAAUGUAAAAUGUAUGUAUAGCAUAAUAAAAUUAAGGAGUGAAAUUACUCUUGGUAUUUCAUUUCGUUAAUAUUAAAAAAGUAUAAAACUUUCUUUGAUUUCACUGUAGUAUAUUGAUAAAGUUGUAUAUAUCUUAAUAUUCACAAGGUACAACUAUUUUUAUGUCAUUUACAAGCCAGGACGCCAUUAAGUGUAAAUGUGUUUUCAAGCUUUAGUUGGCUCUAAAUAAGUUUUAGAUGGGCAUUUUCUGUCUGUAACCAUAUAAACAAACCAUUUUAUAUAAUUUAGAAUUUACCAACCAUUCUCUGGAUGUAAUUACAACGGAGACAAACAAGCAUACGGCCUGCCUGAUGGUAAACAAUCACCGUAGCCUAUGAAUGCCCGCUACUGCAGAGGUAUAUUACAUGCGCGUUACUGACCCUAAAAUAUAAUCUAAUUUUAUGUUACGACACUUUAAAGUUAAUUUUGAAUACAGCAAUCAAUACUUUCCUCGGUAAAUAGCCUUUGAGUGAGGUAGAUAAAGGAGAAUUUUCUUCAUUGUAAAGCUACCAUAAAUAUCAAGGCUAUAUGUAAGUACUUUAAAACUAAGUCUGGACAAUUACUAGUAGAGUAUCCUGUAGGUAUUAAGUAUUUGAAACUUAUCACUUUGAAAAUAUAGAUGGACUAAUUUUAGUUAUUACCACAGAUCAAGAAAUAGUAAUAUGAUAUUAUUUAUAACUAAAUAGCUAAUCUCAUCUGCUUAUGCGUAUCUGAACGAUGAUGGCUACUACGCUAACAAGUGGCAAGGAACUUAGGUAGAUUAUGUGUUGAGUUAUGAUAUAUUUGUGAACAAAAUAUCUGGCAUGACUUGUAACUUGUACUUCAUUUUAAGGAGUAACAUUUUUUAACGUUACCUACAAUAAAACUGUACAAUGUGCAUUGCGACGAAAAAUGAAAACUAUUUAAGCUUUAGCAAGACAAUAUGACAACCCGAGCAUUUACAUUUCAGACAAUAAUAAUGUUAUUGUUAAAGGAUUUCAACCCUUUAUUGCGAUUAUUAAUCGAGCUACUUAGCGCAAGCGACUGCAACACGUGGCAGCAUAACUCUAGUUGCAUGGUUGCACAAUUUACAGCACUUAUUUCGCGUCGCGGGAUAGUGCAUCAACGGUGGUUCACCUCUUGUUUGAUUCGGCGAUGUUCCCCUGAAGUUUGGAGCUGAGAAUCCGUAAGUAAAUUGUACCGGAUUUAUUACAUUAGGCUCGUUGAUAUGGUAUAUUCUUGACAGCAUAUCAAAGCUGACGUUUGAAGUUAUUAGGAGUAUAUAACAGCGUGAUAUGAGUACGAAUCAUAAAUUUGGGUUAAAGGGUUUACAGAUACAUUUUUCCCUAUAUGUUGUUUACAUACAGCAUUUCUUUGUCUGUAAGGGCAAUGACAUUGCGUACAUUUUGUUUAAGGUAUUUUAGGCCGCAUUAACACCUAUUAAAUUACCUCAGCGUAACAAGAACCUCCUUUAUAUUUCAUUAUUUUUACAAGUCCUGUAAACUUUAGCUCAACCUUAAAUAUUUUUGCUCUUUAGUCCCUUAUAUUUACAUGCGUAAAGCUACUUCCAAUACUAUUAAAGUCUUCAAUCAUUACAUUGGCAUCAACACUGUUAUAGUAGAGCAACGUUAUAUAUCUUUGACGAUAUCAUUUUGAGAUAUGUAUAAUGACCGACUGUAGACCGAAGAGCGAAGUGACCGAAGAGCGUAGCGACCGAAGUGCGAAGCGACCGAAGAGCGAAGUGACCAAAAGGAGCAAAGCAACCGAAGAACCAAAUGACCGAAGCAUUAUAACCUCGACACUUAAAAUGAAGCACAUAUAGCCUCGACGCUGCGCUGCGAAAUGGAGGCCUCGAUACGAUUAUUGUGGAAUUGUAUAGUACAUAUAACUUAAAGUGCGGCAUAUAUCUUCGUCACUGCGACAGCUGCGACAGCGGACCCCUUGACACAAUUAUUGUGGAGUAAUGAUAGCAUCCUCACUAUGACGUGGGGCAAACUUAGCCUCAACACUACGACAGCAGAGCCCUCGACACAAUGAUUGUGGAGUAAUGAUAGCCUCCUCACUAUUAAAGUGGGGUACAUAUAGCCUCGACGCUGUGAAAGCGGAGCCCUCGACACAAUAUUGUGGAGUAAUGAUAGCCUCUUCACUAUUAAAGUGGGGCAAAUAUGGCUUCAACGCUGUGAAAGCGGAGCCCUCGACACAAUGACUGUGGAGUAAUGAUAGCCUCUUCACUAUUAAAGUGGGGCAAAUAUAGCUUCGACGCUGUGAAAGCGGAGCACUCGACACAAUGGUUGUGGAGUAAUGAUAGCCUCAUCACUAUUAAAGUGGGGCAAAUAUAGCUUCAACGCGGUUAAAGCGGAACCCUCGACACAGUGAUUGUGGAGUAAUGAUAGCCUCAUCACUAUUAAAGUGGGGCAAAUAUAGCUUCGACGCUGUUAAAGCGGAGCCCUCGACACAAUGGUUGUGGAGUAAUGAUAGCCUCAUCACUAUUAAAGUGGGGCAAAUAUAGCUUCAACGCUGUUAAAGCGGAGCCCUCGACACAAUGAUUGUGGAGAAAUGAUAGCCUCUUCACUAUUAAAGUGGGGCAAAUAUAGCUUCGACGCUGUUAAAGCGGAGCCCUCGACACAAUGGUUGUGGAGUAAUGAUAGCCUCAUCACUAUUAAAGUGGGGCAAAUAUAGCUUCGACGCUGUUAAAGCGGAGCCCUCGACACAAUGAUUGUGGAGUAAUGAUAGCCUCAUCACUAUUAAAGUGGGGCAAAUAUAGCUUCAACGCUGUUAAAGCGGAGCCCUCGACACAAUGAUUGUGGAGUAAUGAUAGCCUCAUCACUAUUAAAGUGGGGCAAAUAUAGCUUCGACGCUGUGAAAGCGGAGCCCUCGACACAAUGUUGUGAAACAAGCUGAAACAUAUCAGGGAAUAACUCUUUUCAAUAAGUUGCCGUUGGACCUAAAGGCUGUAGCAAAUUCAUACAUAUUUGGUAAUAAACUUAAAAAAAUCCUGCUAAACCAGUGCCUGUAUUCAGUAGAGGAAUUUAUGACUAGUGCAAUUGAUUGACAUGCCAUAGCAACAUUUACACUUUAUGUUAAUAUUAAGUGAUUAUGUAAAUUUGUAGGUUUCAUUAGAAUUUAAGUAAUUAUAUAAAUCUAGUGUAAUUUGUGCAUGCUUAAAUCUGAAUAUUAAUAUGUUAAUUCUUACUUGUGACCUGUUUUUGUUAUUUAAAUUGGAUAUUUUUGUACUUGUCCUAGUCUUUGACAUAGAUAUAGUGUAAUAGUUACUCUGUAUAAACUUUGUCUUUUAUUGUUAUUGUUCUGUGUUAUAUAAUUUCAAACACAAUCGUGUAUUGUUUAAUGAAAUAAAUAAAUAAUAAUAAUAGUGUAGCACGUAGUUUAGUUAAUAAUUUUAUAUUAAGAUAUGGACCACCCAAGGCGAUAGUUACGGACAGAGGCACCGAAUUCGUCUCGUCUACAAUGAGUGAGGUAUGUAAACUGUUAAAAAUAGAUAAACUACAAUCAACAGCAUAUCACCAUGAAACAAUAGGUUCCCUCGAAAAUAGUCACAAAAAUCUAGGUUCUUAUCUAAGGAUACAGUGUAAUAAAUAUCCAGAAACGUGGAGUUAUUGGCUUCCAUAUUGGUGUUUCGCAUAUAAUAACUCAGUACACUCAGUAACAAAGUACACCCCGUUUGAACUUGUUUUUGGUAAAUCAUGUGAAUUACCUUGUAGAGUAAGAAGUACAAUUGAACCACUGUAUAACCCUAGUGAUUAUAGUUUAGAGUUAAGGUAUCGAUUACAGACGGCACACAAAGACGCGCGCGAAAACUUGAUAAAGUGUAAACAGCUUAGGAAGUGUACUUACGAUACAAAAGUGAACACAGUGAGUUAUAAAAAGGACGAUCUCGUCUUAGUGAAAAGUGAAACUGGUAACAAACUCGAUACGCUGUACAAAGGACCAUAUAAAGUGAUUAGAUUAGAAAAUCCUAAUGUUGUAAUUUCUCUCAACGGAAAAGAGGAUACUGUUCAUAUUAAUAGAACUAAGUUGUUCGUUCCAGACAAUUAACGUGUCUUAACUGUCAUACCUAUAUUUUUAUUAUGUAAAACUAUUACAAUGUGUAAAGUUCUUAAGUAAUAUUUUGUUAAAAUAAAAACAACAACUGUAUUGUGUGACAUGUUUGUACUAAGUACAUUGUUUAUAUAUGCGAAAAAAGAAAAAAAUGUAUAAUAUUUUUCUUUUUUUUGUCAACCCCGGUGGUGUGGCGUGGUAUAUCAUGUAGUGUGUUAGUUUUAAGAGAUUAGUAUUAAACGUAACGUCGAACA
Cydia pomonella (codling moth) is the source of this 5187-nucleotide long non-coding RNA. RefSeq lists it as uncharacterized. The transcript is spliced from 2 exons. The record is from RefSeq and is a predicted model, not a curated record. Lineage: Eukaryota; Metazoa; Arthropoda; Insecta; Lepidoptera; Tortricidae.